Molecule: ribosomal RNA, 141 nt
Filed under: uncultured bacterium
Lineage: Bacteria
Description: partial 16S ribosomal RNA
Rfam family: Bacterial small subunit ribosomal RNA
Source: RNAcentral
UGGGGAAUAUUGCGCAAUGGGGGGAACCCGUGACGCAGCAACGCCGCGUGAAGGAUGAAGGUUUUCGGAUUGUAAACUUCUUUGAUGAGGGACGAAAGAAAUGACGGUACCUCAAAAACAAGCCACGGCUAACUACGUGCC